UAAGUACUAGUGUCUGCCUGCUGGGAA
Molecule: small RNA, 27 nt
Filed under: Bombyx mori (domestic silkworm)
Lineage: Eukaryota; Metazoa; Arthropoda; Insecta; Lepidoptera; Bombycidae
Description: ovarian small RNA-19373
Source: RNAcentral